AUCUCUUUAUCAGUAAUGAUAAAAAAAGAGGCACAGAUUUUUGCAAGAACGUUGAGUCGCUUCGCCUUCGUGUUUUCCACUGGCGCAGUGAAUUUUGUUCUGCUAAAUCAUCUAUUUUAUCUUUUUAAUUUUGUUUCGAGUUUUAAAUUAUAAAUUUUUAUUACUGUGGGAUCCUAUGAUGGCAUGAAAUCUUUGAGACCUGAUUGUCAUAUUUGAUGACAACUAUAAGCAUAUUCGCUGAGGAUCCACCAUAAUUUUUAUUACUUGUUUUUUAAUUAGCGUUUGUGAUAGAAAUUUUAAAAAAUAGAAAGUGCAUUAGAAUGAUGAAAUAAGCACUGGGCUCUGAGCAGUUUUAUUAAUUAACUGUUUUUUGAUGCACAUUGCUAGCCUAGAAAGCUAUUUCUGACUA
Lupinus albus (white lupine) is the source of this 409-nucleotide non-coding RNA. Lineage: Eukaryota; Viridiplantae; Streptophyta; Magnoliopsida; Fabales; Fabaceae. The record is from the annotation of a GenBank genome assembly.